GGGGGCGAACUGGAUUCGACGCCGGUUACAAAACCUGAGGUGCAUGCCGAGAGGGUAGUGACUCUCGUAAAUCAAUCACUGUAACUUUUAUAGUUGCCAACGACGAAAACUACGCAUUAGCUGCCUAAACUAACCUUUAGGUUUUAGCUUGACCCGGGGCGGAUGUGCCCAUCUAUUCAAACCGGGUGCGCGACUGAUGGGACCGCCGUCAAAGCCCCGCUUGUGGCCGAGAUGGUUAAAACUAAAGCAAGCUCGCCUUUUACUCCCUGUUCGUCGGGACAAUGAAAGGUUAAACAAUAGACGGAAUAAGCAUGUAGAUCCUAAGGCAGCGGACUGACGGACGCGGGUUCGAUACCCGCCGCCUCCACCA
RNAcentral lists this transfer-messenger RNA (370 nucleotides) under Pseudomonadales. RNAcentral's name for it is "UBA4582 sp020443225 Standard tmRNA". It matches the Rfam family "transfer-messenger RNA". Rfam says of the family: Bacterial tmRNA, also known as 10Sa RNA or SsrA, is named for its dual tRNA and mRNA-like properties. Its role is to liberate the mRNA from a stalled ribosome. Lineage: Bacteria; Pseudomonadati; Pseudomonadota; Gammaproteobacteria. The record is from RNAcentral. RNAcentral also lists the same sequence under 1 other name.